AGGNCNUAGGACAUUAACGAACUUGAAAUCGGGAGUCAGUUGCUGGNGCGUGAAACGUACAUCGUGCACGGCUUCUGUGUUCAAUUCAACCCCUGUGCACCUCAUCGAAGCCGGUAGUCCCUUUAUCUUCUUCGUUUUGCCGGUCGCGUGCGGUGCGGACUGCGAGUAGCGAGUAAGGCGAACGCAACUCNGGUUGUCAGUAGCUUGAAACCGAAAGUGGUCUUGCCUUCACGUUCGGCCGGCGAGAGGGGGGAGAGGUCGAGGGUCGAAAGCUUUGACUUGCCAUUAAACGCUCUGUAUGUCUUGUGGAAUGUAUUAGCUCCUUCGUGGGCGAAAUAAAUACAACUUUCAACAACGGAUCUCUUGGCUCUCGCAUCGAUGAAGAACGCAGCGAAAUGCGAUAAGUAAUGUGAAUUGCAGAAUUCAGUGAAUCAUCGAAUCUUUGAACGCACCUUGCGCCCCUUGGUAUUCCGAGGGGCAUGCCUGUUUGAGUGUCAUGUUAAUCUCAAACCCCUUGUCUUUGUUGACUCGGUCGGUUUGGACUUGGAGGCGUUGCCGGCGUGCUUUUGCGCGCGUCGGCUCCUCUUAAAUGCAUUAGCUAGGCUUUGGUUCGCAUCGACGGUGUAAUAGUAAAGUGUUCGCCGGGGUGCCUGCCUAAGGAGUCCGCUUCCAAUCGUCUUCGGACAAGGUCCUUUGACCUUUGCAUAUAUCUUGACCUUUGACCUCAAAUCAGGUAGGGACUACCCGCCGAAC
This 753-nucleotide ribosomal RNA is filed under the name Phellinus robiniae. RNAcentral describes it as "eukaryotic LSU rRNA". The stretch from base 344 to 497 matches the Rfam family "5.8S ribosomal RNA". The record is from RNAcentral. Lineage: Eukaryota; Fungi; Basidiomycota; Agaricomycetes; Hymenochaetales; Hymenochaetaceae.